GAACGCUAGCUACAGGCUUAACACAUGCAAGUCGAGGGGCAGCAUGGUCUUAGCUUGCUAAGGCCGAUGGCGACCGGCGCACGGGUGAGUAACACGUAUCCAACCUGCCGUCUACUCUUGGACAGCCUUCUGAAAGGAAGAUUAAUACAAGAUGGCAUCAUGAGUCCGCAUGUUCACAUGAUUAAAGGUAUUCCGGUAGACGAUGGGGAUGCGUUCCAUUAGAUAGUAGGCGGGGUAACGGCCCACCUAGUCUUCGAUGGAUAGGGGUUCUGAGAGGAAGGUCCCCCACAUUGGAACUGAGACACGGUCCAAACUCCUACGGGAGGCAGCAGUGGGGAAUAUUGGUCAAUGGGCGAGAGCCUGAACCAGCCAAGUAGCGUGAAGGAUGACUGCCCUAUGGGUUGUAAACUUCUUUUAUAAAGGAAUAAAGUCGGGUAUGCAUACCCGUUUGCAUGUACUUUAUGAAUAAGGAUCGGCUAACUCCGUG
Molecule: ribosomal RNA, 487 nt
Filed under: uncultured bacterium
Lineage: Bacteria
Description: bacterial SSU rRNA
Rfam family: Bacterial small subunit ribosomal RNA
Source: RNAcentral